This is a long non-coding RNA of Carassius auratus (goldfish), 804 nucleotides long. RefSeq lists it as uncharacterized. NCBI's taxonomy places the organism in Eukaryota, Metazoa, Chordata, Actinopteri, Cypriniformes, Cyprinidae. The transcript has 3 exons. The record is from RefSeq and is a predicted model, not a curated record.
GCCUCUGUCUAGUCAUUCAGGGAACAAGUGGCCAUUCAAAGUGUGCUGAUCCUCUGUUGACACACAGACACAAGCCUACCAGCCUCCAUUCCAGCCCUGCAACAACACCAAACUGAUGCAAGGCUCCUCCACAAUGCAGUCAAAAGACUCGGAAUGACGGAGGCCCCAUCGCCAUGGUAACCGGGUUUGUGCAGCUGAGCAUUGCGCUCGGAGCAGUGGCUGUGGUUAUUGGUGAAGGAUUGGAACUGGCCCAUUAGCUCCACGCCUCCAAACAUCGAAGGCCUAAUAGAUGCAGGGAAAGAGGACUUCAGCUAUGAUCAAUACUCAUCCAGGUUCAGAAUUCACUUGGAAAAUACAGCUGUCAGCAGCAGGCCAGCCGAUCAAUAACAACAUCUAAACACUAGAAGAUUGCACAUACUAUUGAAAACUCAUCAGCUAAAGUAUCUGCCUUUAUACUUGCCCAUCUGGAACGUUUUACAGUAAGUGAGUAAUAAAGCAUCUUAUACAUAAAUGCCUCUACUAUUCAAAAGUUUGGAGUCGGUAAGAUCUUUAUGUAACAAUGCAAAUAUUGAAAAGAAGAAGAAAAAAAAAAUUUGGUGCUCAAGAAACAAUUCUUUUUUUUUUUUUAAACAAUUGUGCAGAUUAAUACACUGUGAAAACUGUGAUCAAUUCAUUAAUAUACAGGGUAGCCAAUAAUAUAUGAAAAUUAAUACAUUUUAAUCCUUCUAUUAUCAAUUUGGCAGUAGAGUGCAUUGCUGAUUGGGCAAAUGAGGUGCGAGUCUGCCCUCUAGGGGUUAUCAAGAG